This 72-nucleotide transfer RNA is filed under the name Ictidomys tridecemlineatus (thirteen-lined ground squirrel). RNAcentral describes it as "Spermophilus tridecemlineatus (thirteen-lined ground squirrel) tRNA". It matches the Rfam family "tRNA". Rfam says of the family: Transfer RNA (tRNA) molecules are approximately 80 nucleotides in length. Their secondary structure includes four short double-helical elements and three loops (D, anti-codon, and T loops). Further hydrogen bonds mediate the characteristic L-shaped molecular structure. tRNAs have two regions of fundamental functional importance: the anti-codon, which is responsible for specific mRNA codon recognition, and the 3' end, to which the tRNAs corresponding amino acid is attached (by aminoacyl-tRNA synthetases). tRNAs cope with the degeneracy of the genetic code in two manners: having more than one tRNA (with a specific anti-codon) for a particular amino acid; and 'wobble' base-pairing, i.e. permitting non-standard base-pairing at the 3rd anti-codon position. The record is from Rfam by way of RNAcentral. Lineage: Eukaryota; Metazoa; Chordata; Mammalia; Rodentia; Sciuridae.
AGGGUUGUAGCUCAGUGGCAGAGCACUUGCCUAGCAUGCAUGAGACACUGGGUUAGAUUCCUGGCACCACAU